AUUGAACGCUGGCGGCAGGCCUAACACAUGCAAGUCGAACGGUAACAGGCAGAAGCUUGCUUCUUUGCUGACGAGUGGCGGACGGGUGAGUAAUGUCUGGGAAACUGCCUGAUGGAGGGGGAUAACUACUGGAAACGGUAGCUACUACCGCAUAACGUCGGAAGAACAAAGAGGGGGAGAUUGGGGAGGUUGGGUGGAGGGUGGGAUCAGAUGGGCUUAGCUUGUAGGUGGGGUUAUGUUUCAAAUAGGCGACGAUCUCCAGGUGGUCUGAGAGGAUGACCAGCCACACUGGAACUGGGACACGGUCCAGACUCCUACGGGAGGCAGCAGUGGAGAAUCUUACACACUAGUCACAAACCUUAUACAACCAUAGCAAGUAUAUUAAGAAGGCCUUCGGGUUGUAAAGUACUUUCAGCGGGGAGGAAAAUAGUAAACUUAAUACCUUUCCUCAUUAACUUUCCCCUCAAAAAAACCACCGGCUAACUCCCUG
Molecule: ribosomal RNA, 490 nt
Filed under: uncultured bacterium
Lineage: Bacteria
Description: partial 16S ribosomal RNA
Rfam family: Bacterial small subunit ribosomal RNA
Source: RNAcentral